AAAAAAAAAAAAAAAAAAAAAAUAUUCCCAGUGAACUUUCCCCAGAAUCACAUUCUUUACCAAGCAUUUAUGAUAAUAUCAGUCAGGGUAUAAGCAAAAGUGAACCUUUCAAUUGUUUAUCCCAAUUACAACAGUUAGGAAAAUCCCUUUUCUUGCUAUCAAAAUUCACUUUACAGGUAGCGGAAAGACAAUAAAAAGGAAUUGCAAAAAUUCGCCACCGACCUAUAUCUUACCUUCCAGAACCCUAGAAAACCUCAAAAGUCAAAAAGAAUUGGAAAAAAGGUUCUCACCACUCAACAAUAGAAAACCUAAGUUCAAAGACUUUCUUAUAAAGAAAAAUAGAAUGCUUGAGACUACGAAAUGCAGAAAAUGUAACACCCCACAUGGCAGCAACAAGAAAGAGAGAACUGCACAUACCUACCUCGACUAACUUAAAAUGGUCAAUAUCUGAUACAGAUGAAUGCACUUCUUAGGCCUUCAACCCAAAACAAGUAGAAGAUCUCCAGAAUCCUCUUCUAGAUUUGCACUCUCACUCCAGCCAAUGUUGUAUCUUCUUUCUGUUCCCCUCUAUCCAAACUUGUUGGAGUUCCCAAAAUUUAUCCUAAGAUUGGACUUGUUUUCUUGGUGUACAAAAGGAUAUAUCAUAUCCAUCCAUCAGUAGUUACUAGGCCAGUUGAUCUGUUGAUGCUGAGGCUGCUGGUAUACACUGGCUGCAGGUCCCACCAUAUCAACAGCUCCAGCCAUGGCUUGAGACUGUUGAAGAAGUGGGUGAACAGCUGCUGCCGUCACUGCUUGUGCGGGCUGAUAGAUACUAGUAAAGGUUCCAUGACCAGCCUGUGCUGGGGUAAAAGUCACAUGCUGACCUUGAGGAGGAAGGCUGUAGAAGGAACUUGCUGGCAAGCUAGAUAUAUCUCGUCCAGGAGCAGCAAUCCACACGGCUGAACCCUCACUCUGCUGCCCAGUGAUGUAAACAUUACUUUCUUUGAACUGGGAUGCACCAAGAUCUUCAUUUGUGGUAGAGUUUCCUCCUGUUACCGCAGAACUGGGACUAUAACCAGCUUGAGAGGAGCCAUAUGGCCCAUAGCCGCUUGCCAUUCCAAUAUGAGUUGAAUUUCCUGUAUUAGUUCCUGGUUUAUAUUGUGGAAGUGAAUAUUUGACCCCCAUGGCAGCUGCAGCUGGUGGCGCAGGAUAUAUGCUUCCAGCUUGAGGUUGCUGGGGAAAUGCACC
Molecule: unclassified non-coding RNA, 1227 nt
Filed under: Hevea brasiliensis (rubber tree)
Lineage: Eukaryota; Viridiplantae; Streptophyta; Magnoliopsida; Malpighiales; Euphorbiaceae
Source: RNAcentral